UAUACCCUGCUUCCAGGAAAAGCCACUAAGCUUCAGCUGCACACGACCGUACCGCAAACCGACACUGGUGCGCGAGAUGAGUAUUCUAAGGCGCUUGAGAGAACUCUGGAGAAGGAACUCGGCAAAUUGACACCGUAACUUCGGAAGAAGGUGUGCCUUUAGUAGGUGAAGUCGUACAGACGGAGCCCAAUGAGGCCGCAGAGAAUCGGUGGCUGCGACUGUUUAUUAAAAACACAGCACUCUGCAAGGACGAAAGUCGACGUAUAGGGUGUGACGCCUGCCCGGUGCUGGAAGAUUAAAUGAUGGGGUGCAAGCUCUUGAUUGAAGUCCCAGUAAACGGCGGCCGUAACAAUAACGGUCCUAAGGUAGCGAAAUUCCUUGUCGGGUAAGUUCCGACCUGCACGAAUGGCGUAACGAUGGCCACGCUGUCUCCUCCAGAGACUCAGCGAAGUUGAAAUGUUUGUGAUGAUGCAAUCUCCCCGCGGAAAGACGGAAAGACCCCAUGAACCUUUACUGUAGCUUCACAUUGGACUUUGAACAGAUCUGUGUAGGAUAGGUGGGAGGCUUUGAAGCGGUGCCGCUAGGUGUCGUGGAGCCAACCUUGAAAUACCACCCUGGUGUGUUUGGGGUUCUAACCUUGACCCGUUAUCCGGGUUGGGGACAGUGUGUGGUGGGCAGUUUGACUGGGGCGGUCUCCUCCCAAAGUGUAACGGAGGAGUUCGAAGGUACGCUAGGCACGGUCGGAAAUCGUGCUGAUAGUGCAUUGGCAUAAGCGUGCUUGACUGCGAGACGGACAUGUCGAGCAGGUACGAAAGUAGGACAAAGUGAUCCGGUGGUUCUGUAUGGAAGGGCCAUCGCUCAACGGAUAAAAGGUACUCUGGGGAUAACAGGCUGAUACCGCCCAAGAGUUCAUAUCGACGGCGGUGUUUGGCACCUCGAUGUCGGCUCAUCUCAUCCUGGGGCUGUAGCCGGUCCCAAGGGUAUGGCUGUUCGCCAUUUAAAGAGGUACGUGAGCUGGGUUUAAAACGUCGUGAGACAGUUUGGUCCCUAUCUUCCGUGGGCGCUGCAAGAUUGAGAGAGCCUGCUCCUAGUACGAGAGGACCGGAGUGGACGCACCUCUGGAGCAUCGGUUGUCACGCCAGUGGCAUAGCCGAGUAGCUAAGUGCGGAAGAGAUAACCGCUGAAAGCAUCUAAGCGGGAAACUCGUCUCAAGAUGAGUCUUGCCGGGGCCUUGAGCCCCCUGAAGAGUCGUUCGAGACCAGGACGUUGAUAGGCCGGGUGUGGAAGCGCGGUAACGCGUUAAGCUGACCGGUACUAAUUGCUCGUGAGGCUUGACCCU
Molecule: ribosomal RNA, 1339 nt
Filed under: metagenome
Description: bacterial LSU rRNA
Rfam family: Bacterial large subunit ribosomal RNA
Source: RNAcentral